Molecule: ribosomal RNA, 486 nt
Filed under: uncultured bacterium
Lineage: Bacteria
Description: bacterial SSU rRNA
Rfam family: Bacterial small subunit ribosomal RNA
Source: RNAcentral
AACGAACGCUGGCGGCGUGCUUAACACAUGCAAGUCGAACGAGAAAGCGGGCUUCGGUCCGCUAGUAAAGUGGCAGACGGGUGAGUAACACGUGGGUAACCUGCCCGGAGGUGGGGGACAACCCUCCGAAAGGAGGGCUAAUACCGCAUGAUAUCCCUGAGGCUUCGGCCUUGAGGAUCAAAGCUAGCCUCUACAUGUAAGCUAGCUCCACCGGAGGGGCCCGCGGCCCAUUAGCUAGUUGGGAGGUAACGGCUCACCAAGGCGACGAUGGGUAGCCGGCCUGAGAGGGUGUUCGGCCACACUGGAACUGAGACACGGUCCAGACUCCUACGGGAGGCAGCAGUGAGGAAUCUUGCGCAAUGGGCGAAAGCCUGACGCAGCGACGCCGCGUGGAGGACGAAGGUCUUCGGAUCGUAAACUCCUGUCAAGUGGGACGAAGGCUGUUGGGAUGAAUAAGCCCAGCAGUUGACGGUACCGCUGAAGGAA